GACAGAGGGUGCAAACGUUGUUCGGAAUUACUGGGCGUAAAGCGCGUGUAGGCGGCUUCGCAAGUCGGGUGUGAAAGCCCUGGGCUCAACCUAGGAAGUGCACUCGAAACUGCGGAGCUUGAGUCCUGGAGAGGAAGGCGGAAUUCUCGGUGUAGAGGUGAAAUUCGUAGAUAUCGAGAGGAACACCGGUGGCGAAGGCGGCCUUCUGGACAGUGACUGACGCUGAGACGCGAAAGCGUGGGGAGCAAACAGG
This 253-nucleotide ribosomal RNA is filed under the name uncultured bacterium. Its description in RNAcentral is "partial 16S ribosomal RNA". It matches the Rfam family "Bacterial small subunit ribosomal RNA", at positions 524 to 776 of the family's 1533-position model. The record is from RNAcentral.